AUUGAACGCUGGCGGCAUGCCUUACACAUGCAAGUCGAACGGCAGCACGGGGGCAACCCUGGUGGCGAGUGGCGAACGGGUGAGUAAUGCAUCGGAACGUGCCCAGUAGUGGGGGAUAACUAGUCGAAAGAUUAGCUAAUACCGCAUACGACCUAUGGGUGAAAGCGGGGGACCUUUACCGGCCUCGCGCUAUCGGAGCGGCCGAUGUCUGAUUAGCUAGUUGGCGGGGUAAAAGCCCACCAAGGCUUCGAUCAGUAGCUGGUCUGAGAGGACGACCAGCCACACUGGGACUGAGACACGGCCCAGACUCCUACGGGAGGCAGCAGUGGGGAAUUUUGGACAAUGGGCGCAAGCCUGAUCCAGCCAUGCCGCGUGCGGGAAGAAGG
This 386-nucleotide ribosomal RNA is filed under the name uncultured bacterium. RNAcentral describes it as "bacterial SSU rRNA". It matches the Rfam family "Bacterial small subunit ribosomal RNA", at positions 29 to 414 of the family's 1533-position model. The record is from RNAcentral.